UACGUAGGGUGCAAGCGUUUAUCCGGAAUAUUGGGCGUAAAGAGCUCGUAGGCGGUUUGUCGCGUCUGCUGUGAAAACUGGGGGCUCAACCCCCCAGCCUGCAGUGGGUACGGGCAGACUAGAGUGCGGUAGGGGAGAUUGGAAUUCCUGGUGUAGCGGUGGAAUGCGCAGAUAUCAGGAGGAACACCGAUGGCGAAGGCAGAUCUCUGGGCCGUAACUGACGCUGAGGAGCGAAAGCAUGGGGAGCGAACAGG
RNAcentral lists this ribosomal RNA (254 nucleotides) under uncultured bacterium. RNAcentral describes it as "partial 16S ribosomal RNA". It matches the Rfam family "Bacterial small subunit ribosomal RNA", at positions 524 to 776 of the family's 1533-position model. The record is from RNAcentral.